RNAcentral lists this unclassified non-coding RNA (446 nucleotides) under Hevea brasiliensis (rubber tree). Lineage: Eukaryota; Viridiplantae; Streptophyta; Magnoliopsida; Malpighiales; Euphorbiaceae. The record is from RNAcentral.
UCUUGGUAUGGUUGCUCAAUUGCCAGAGAAGGAUGAGACUAGUAUGUCCCGUAAGCAGAUGCUUGCUCGGCUUGAUGUUUGCAUGGGUGGACGAGUUGCUGAAGAGCUCAUUUUUGGAGAAAGUGAAGUAACUUCUGGUCCUUCUAGCGAUCUCCAGCAAGCAACCAAUCUAGCCAGGGCCAUGGUUACAAAGUUUGGUAUGAGCAAAGAAGUGGGGCUUGUUACCCACAACUACGAUGAUAAUGGGAAGAGUAUGAGCACUGAAACGAGGCUUCUCAUUGAGAAGGAAGUAAGAGAAUUACUUGAAAGGGCUUACAACAAUGCGAAAAUGAUUCUCACCACCCAUAUCAAAGAGCUUCAUGCUCUUGCCAAUGCAUUGCUUGAGCAGGAAACGAUGACCGGAAAUCAGAUUAAGGCCCUGCUUACCCAUGUCAAUUCUAAACAAA